GAUCAUUAGUGAAUUGCCGACUAAUGCGUCAGCAUUAGGAGGUUUUACAUUAUCUACCUCGUGAACCGUGGCUUCGGCCUACACACAUCAGUAAUGAAUGUUACAUAUAAUAACAAAAACAAAACUUUCAACAACGGAUCCCUUGGCUCUCGCAUCGAUGAAGAACGCAGCGAAAUGCGAUAAGUAAUGUGAAUUGCAGAAUUCAGUGAAUCAUCGAGUUUUUGAACGCACCUUGCGCCCUUUGGUAUUCCGAAGGGCAUGCCAGUCUGAGUGUCAUGAUCACCUCAACCCAAAGGUUUCUUUGGAGUUUGGAUUUGGGUCUGUCCUUUGUGGGCUCUCCUUAAAAGCAUUAGCAAACGGGUGUAAUAAGUUUCGCCCCGGCGCUUCCAACUAUUCUCUAGAAUAGACCUCAGAUCAGGUAGGAUUACCCGCUGAACUUAAGCAUAUCAAUAAGCGGAGGAAGAGAAACUAACAAGGAUUCCCCUAGUAACGGCGAGUGAAGCGGGAAAAGCUCAAAUUUGUAAUCUGGCUUGUCUACAAGUCCGAGUUGUAAUCUAUAGAAUCAUUUUCCGUGCCGGUCCGUGUCCAAGUCCCUUGGAACAGGGUAUCAAAGAGGGUGACAAUCCCGUGCUUGACACGACCGCCGGUGCAAUGUGAUAUGAUUUCUACGAGUCGAGUUGUUUGGGAAUGCAGCUCUAAAUGGGUGGUAAAUUCCAUCUAAGGCUAAAUAUUGGCGAGAGACCGAUAGCAAACAAGUACCGUGAGGGGAAGAUGAAAAGCACUUUGGAAAGAGGGUUAAACAGUACGUGAAAUUGUUGAAAGGGAAGCGUUUGCAAUCAGACUUGCACGUUGCCGAUCAUCUGGUGUUCUCACCAGUGCACUCGGUUUCGUUCAGGCCAGCAUCGGUUUGGGUGGUUGGAUAAAGGCCUUGGGAAUGUGGCUCCUUUCGGGGAGUGUUAUAGUCCUCGGUGCAAUGCAAGCCUACCUGGACCGAG
This 995-nucleotide ribosomal RNA is filed under the name uncultured fungus. RNAcentral's name for it is "eukaryotic LSU rRNA". The stretch from base 405 to 995 matches the Rfam family "Eukaryotic large subunit ribosomal RNA", at positions 1 to 594 of the family's 3401-position model. The record is from RNAcentral. Lineage: Eukaryota; Fungi.